AUUGAACGCUGGCGGCAGGCUUAACACAUGCAAGUCGAGCGGGGGAAGGUAGCUUGCUAUUGGACCUAGCGGCGGACGGGUGAGUAAUGCUUAGGAAUCUGCCUAUUAGUGGGGGACAACAUCUCGAAAGGGAUGCUAAUACCGCAUACGUCCUACGGGAGAAAGCAGGGGAUCUUCGGACCUGCCGCUAAUAGAUGAGCCUAAGUCGGAUUAGCUAGUUGGUGGGGUAAAGGCCUACCAAGGCGACGAUCUGUAGCGGGUCUGAGAGGAUGGUCCGCCACACUGGGACUGGGACACGGCCCAGACUCCUACGGGAGGCAGCAGUGGGGAAUAUUGGACAAUGGGGGGAACCCUGAUCCAGCCAUGCCGCGUGUGUGAAGAAGGCCUUAUGGUUGUAAAGCACUUUAAGCGAGGAGGAGGCUACUUUAGUUAAUACCUAGAGAUAGUGGACGUUACUCGCAGAAUAAGCACCGGCUAACUCUGUGCCAGCAGCCGCCGUAA
This 501-nucleotide ribosomal RNA is filed under the name uncultured bacterium. Its description in RNAcentral is "partial 16S ribosomal RNA". It matches the Rfam family "Bacterial small subunit ribosomal RNA", at positions 30 to 523 of the family's 1533-position model. The record is from RNAcentral.